UACGUAGGGGGCUAGCGUUGCUCGGAAUCACUGGGCGUAAAGGGUGCGUAGGCGGGUCUUUAAGUCAGGGGUGAAAUCCUGGAGCUCAACUCCAGAACUGCCUUUGAUACUGAAGAUCUUGAGUUCGGGAGAGGUGAGUGGAACUGCGAGUGUAGAGGUGAAAUUCGUAGAUAUUCGCAAGAACACCAGUGGCGAAGGCGGCUCACUGGGCCGAUACUGACGCUGAGGCACGAAAGCGUGGGGAGCAAACAGG
Molecule: ribosomal RNA, 253 nt
Filed under: uncultured bacterium
Lineage: Bacteria
Description: partial 16S ribosomal RNA
Rfam family: Bacterial small subunit ribosomal RNA
Source: RNAcentral